GAUCCUGGCUCAGGAUGAACGCUAGCUACAGGCUUAACACAUGCAAGUCGAGGGGCAGCAUGGUCUUAGCUUGCUAAGGCCGAUGGCGACCGGCGCACGGGUGAGUAACGCGUAUCCAACCUGCCCACCACUUGGGGAUAACCUUGCGAAAGUAAGACUAAUACCCAACUGAUAUCUCUAGAAGACAUCUGAAGAAGAUUAAAGAAUUAUUCGGUUGGUAUGGAGUGGGGAGGUGCGGU
This 239-nucleotide ribosomal RNA is filed under the name uncultured bacterium. RNAcentral's name for it is "partial 16S ribosomal RNA". It matches the Rfam family "Bacterial small subunit ribosomal RNA", at positions 15 to 239 of the family's 1533-position model. The record is from RNAcentral.